CACCAGUCUCCCUUUCUCCUCCAGAGCCAUCUGGGUUCAGUGGCAACAUACAAAUCAGCAUGACUGAAGAUGGCCUGUGCCUGGGGAAAGAAUAAAAGUAGAAGUCCAGUGGAGGAGAAACAAGAGUCAUCAUAGGCAUCCUGACUGUUUUCAACUCUUCUCCCAUGUCUGCAGUCCUUUUCACUAUGGAGGACCUAGCAGCUUCCACUUUAAAGGAUCAAAGGGCCUGGAAUCUGAUAUUUCAAAAGGUGAAGGAACUUGAAGUGCAGCAAAUUAACAUGGUCAGAAAAUUCAUCACCUGGUGGCCAACCUGUUGGUAAGAUGCUGCUGGUGUAUUCUUUCAAGCUGGAAAUAUUUUGAAUAUGGAUCUGGAGAGCUUCUCUUUUGUCAUAGUAGCCUCGGAGAAUCUCUAUACCAUAAUGAAGCAUCCACACAUCAAUUUUGGACUGUUGUGGAAGAGCAAUGAACAUUAAAGACAAAAAGAAAGGUUUUUUUUUUUUGUUUGUUUUUUUUUAAGUUAUGAGGGUGCCAAUAGGCAGACCAAAGAAAGGAUAGAACUCUGCUUAGUUUGGAUAAGAUAAUAAUGGAUGAUGUAGAG
RNAcentral lists this long non-coding RNA (598 nucleotides) under Sarcophilus harrisii (Tasmanian devil). Its description in RNAcentral is "lncRNA (ENSSHAG00000024560.1)". Lineage: Eukaryota; Metazoa; Chordata; Mammalia; Dasyuromorphia; Dasyuridae. The record is from RNAcentral.